CUUUCUCGGCAGCGCCGUAGAGCGCGAGCAGACGGUGCAGCAUGGCGCACAGCGGAGGCCGCGGGCGGCCGAACCCGGCGUGUCCUUGGGCGUUUCCAGGUGCAACAAAACCUGCUCAUUUGAAGGUGCUUGAACAAAUAUUUUCUAAACACUUGUCAUGGAGAGUGAUUGAAACAAGCUGCCAGGACUACAUUUGCCAAUAACAAGCAUGUAGGUGGCUGUAGUGGAUGUCCAACUUUGGGAGCUGUGAUGUCUAAAAACCCUUUAUUGUUUUGGGUGCAGCUUACAUAUUGGAAGGUAAAAUGAAGGCCAUGAACAAAGUCAAGAAGCCAUAAACAGAAGCAAAUGGUGAAAAUUAAUAUCUAAUUUAAUAUUAAUAAGUUAUAUAUAAAUAAACAGUUAUUCUU
Mus musculus (house mouse) is the source of this 407-nucleotide long non-coding RNA. RefSeq annotates it as small nucleolar RNA host gene 6. The record is from RefSeq and is marked validated. The transcript has 4 exons. Lineage: Eukaryota; Metazoa; Chordata; Mammalia; Rodentia; Muridae.